Molecule: ribosomal RNA, 147 nt
Filed under: uncultured eukaryote
Lineage: Eukaryota
Description: partial small subunit ribosomal RNA
Rfam family: Bacterial small subunit ribosomal RNA
Source: RNAcentral
GUACACACCGCCCGUCACACCACGAGAGCUGUCUGUACCCAAAGACGUUUUAGCUAACCUGUUAAAGGAGGCGAGCGUUUAAGGUAUGGGGAGUGAUUGGGACUAAGUCGUAACAAGGUAACCGUAGGUGAACCUGCAGAAGGAUCA